GAUGAACGCUGGCGGCGUGCCUAAUACAUGCAAGUCGAGCGAACGGACGAGAAGCUUGCUUCUCUGAUGUUAGCGGCGGACGGGUGAGUAACACGUGGAUAACCUACCUAUAAGACUGGGAUAACUUCGGGAAACCGGAGCUAAUACCGGAUAAUAUUUUGAACCGCAUGGUUCAAAAGUGAAAGACGGUCUUGCUGUCACUUAUAGAUGGAUCCGCGCUGCAUUAGCUAGUUGGUAAGGUAACGGCUUACCAAGGCAACGAUGCAUAGCCGACCUGAGAGGGUGGUCGGCCACACUGGAACUGAGACACGGCCCAGACUCCUACGGGAGGCAGCAGUAGGGAAUCUUCCGCGAUGGGCGAAAGCCUGACGGAGCAACGCCGCGUGAGUGAUGAAGGUCUUCGGAUCGUAAAGCUCUGUUAUUAGGGAAGAACAUAUGUGUAAGUAACUGUGCACAUCUUGACGGUACCUAAUCAGAAAGCCACGGCUAACUCCGUG
RNAcentral lists this ribosomal RNA (497 nucleotides) under uncultured bacterium. RNAcentral's name for it is "partial 16S ribosomal RNA". It matches the Rfam family "Bacterial small subunit ribosomal RNA", at positions 28 to 507 of the family's 1533-position model. The record is from RNAcentral.